RNAcentral lists this non-coding RNA (148 nucleotides) under Tersicoccus sp. Its description in RNAcentral is "TPP sequence". It matches the Rfam family "TPP riboswitch aptamer (THI element)". Rfam says of the family: Vitamin B(1) in its active form thiamin pyrophosphate (TPP) is an essential coenzyme that is synthesised by coupling of pyrimidine and thiazole moieties in bacteria. Lineage: Bacteria; Bacillati; Actinomycetota; Actinomycetes; Micrococcales; Micrococcaceae. The record is from RNAcentral.
GCACAACGACAGGGGAGCGCCUCCUGCUCGUCCGCCGGGUUCUCGGACCCGGUCGGGCGACGCGGCCGGCGCUGAGAGUGCGGACCGCCGCAGACCCUCGAACCUGAUCCGGUCAGUACCGGCGCUAGGGAGUCGAGUUUCUCGAAGC